GUACGAACCAUUGGUCUACCUAGCUCAGGCCUGUCUACACAGAGUAGCAGUGGCUCUCCAGGAUUUCAGACAGGGGUCUGCCCCAGCUCCACCUGUGUGCUAAGCAGAUGCUCUACCAUUGGGUUUUACGGAAUCUUCAAAGAAAAGGUACACAGAGUAAUUGUCAAAACAUUACAGGCAACAGAAGGUUGGCUGCUAUCGGGGGCAAUAGCUUCAUUGAUGCAUGGGAAACUGAGGUGGGGUUCCAGAAACCUGCAAAAGGGCAACAAACUACAAGAAGGACGCAGCUGGAGAGAAUGAUUCCUAGUUUCAGUUUUCUCUACUGAAAGGCACAGGGUAUGGGAAACAAGCAAGAUGAAUUGGAGCUUUUAAUACAGGAUGGCAAAUAAGACAUAUGACCUAGAAGGCGAGUAGGCAUUGCCUCAGGGUUCAAGAUUUCUUUAACAGAUUGGAGGAUUGGGUUAACAAAUGAAUUUGAAUAGGGACAAAUGUAAGGUACUGCACUUAGGCAGCAAGUACCAACUUCACAAAUAUAAGUUGAAGGACACCUGGCUUACUAGGAUCUCGCCAUCUUAAUGAAAUUCAAGCUUCACUUGAGUGAACAGUGCGGUGCAGUUUUUGCUGUAUGUGUAUUUAAAACAAAUUCUUUAUUGGUUUAAUUCAAUUUGCCUGUAAGCUGCCUUGUUGCUCCCUAGCACAGAAAGACAGGGAACCUAAGUUUCUUUAAACAGAUUGACCAAAAAUGGUACACAGCAAAACGCUUUGGUGUCCAACUCUCAUUGCAGUGUUGUACCAAAAUACUAUCAGCAAAUUCUGGCCUUGGUGUUUGCAGUCAAGGAAAUCAACAAGAAUUCCAAUAUAUUACCUAAUGUCACAUUAGGAUUCCACAUUUUUGAUAGUUACUUCAGUGAAAGGAUGACCUACUGGGCCACUUUGGAGCUGCUCUCUACACACUACAGAUUCGUACCCAACUACCAGUGUGACAAACAGAAAAAUCUGAGCGCAGUCAUUGGGGGACUUGACUUUGAGAUUUCCCUCCACAUGGCAGCCAUCUUAGGUGUCUACAAGAUUCCCCAGGUAAGAGUCAAACAUGGUGACUCAUUCUUCUUUCCUCUGUCCUGUUGAGAAAAGUUUUGCAUUCCAUCAUAGCCCUCUUGACAAUUUCAAAUUGUAUUCAAUAAAAGCUUUCAUCCGUCUUCAUCCAUUUCCCAACGUGUGCAUGUUCUUCAGAGGGUAGGAAUGGAACAUUUUGCAGAUACAGUUGUACACACCUGCUCUAUGUUUGUGAACAGCUUGAUCUGCCAGCCUCAGGUAGACUCCAACCAGGAUGAAUUACGGAGGCUGCUCAUCAGUCACUUGUACAUUACCUUAAUUAAUUUGACCUGGACAAUUUGGGGCUGUCAGGGGUGCCAACAGGUCACUGGUUAUCUACCUAGUGAAAUCAGAGGAGCAGAGAGAGCUUUUCAAUGGUUUCAUUUUAAUCCACAGGAAGACAGAAAGACGUGAAAGUAUGCUCUCACCCUUGAGCUAAUAUUGCUCAGAUUGCAACUCCACCAUGCACCGACAAUUUCUUCCUAGAAAUCAGAUGCCUCCUGGUGCCUAUGGUGGCUGCUAAGAACAAUUCUCUUUUGGGUUCUGCAGAGCGUGUCUUGACCUUGUGGAAGGAGGGGGCUCUGACAAACUCUCUUGAGAGAGAAUGUCACUUGGCUGCUGUACUGUUUCUAAGAAAUCUGACUCCUGUCUUUGUUCAUUGCUAACUUGCUCUGGUUCAUCAUCACUUAUUAUUUCCCAGGUGCUUUUUCCUUCUCAGGUGUGACCUGUCUCAAACCACCACACCAUACUCUCCCCCCUUCCUUCUUUCUGGAAGGUUCUUAGGGUGCUGCUCUCCACCACUCCUCCUCAUCUCCCCAUUUCCUGACGGGCUUACUGAGACAGCAGGUCCAAAGCACAAUGGUUUCGUCAUUGCAAUCCACACAUAACCAAUGUUUCUACUGCAUUAAUGGGAAUUAAGUGUCCGUUUCCUUCUAGCUCACUUAUGGCUCCUUUGCCCCAGAGGAUGCUGGUCGAAGCCAAUCCACUCCCUUCUACCGGAUGGUGCCCAAUGAAGCCCAUCAGUACACUGGGAUUGUUGAGUUACUUCUGCACUUUGGAUGGACGUGGGUUGGGUUGCUCGCUGCGGAUAGUGAGAGUGGAGAGAAAUUUAUGAAAAUCCUGCAAACUCUGCUUUUUCAGAGAGGUAUUUGCUUGGCCUUUUCAGAGAGAACUCCAAAAGGCACAUAUUUUGAAGAGUAUUAUCACAUGAUUCCCCAGUGGCUCCAAGCCUAUCUUGCUAUUGCGGAAAGCAAAGCCAAUGCUGUCAUUGUCUAUGGAGAAGCCAAGUCCAUGUUUUUUUUGCAACUAUGGCUAGCGGCAGGGGGUGCAGAAAAUGUGACAUCUAUGGAGAAGUUAUGGAUUAUGACUGCUCAACUGGAUUUCUCAGCAGUGGCCUUUCAAAUGAGCCAGGCUAUGCAACCAUUUCAUGGCUCCAUCUGCUUCACAGUGCACUCAAAGGAGGUGCAAGGAUUCAAGACCCUUCUUCGCUCCCUCAAUCCUUUCAUGGCAGGUGAAGAUGGUUUUCUUCAGCAGUUCUGGCUGCAGACAUUCUAUUGUUUCUUUUCAAAAUCCAGUACUGAGUUCAGUGAACCCUGCACUGGACAGGAGAAGCUGGACAGCCUCCCUCGUCUGGCUUUGAGAUGAGCAUGACUGGCCACAGCUACAGCAUCUACAAUGCUGUCUAUGUUCUGGCACAUGCCCUACAUGAUGCCAUGUACAGAUCCAGGGCAAAAGACAGAGGAAUUGUGAGAAGAUGGAGACCGCAGCUUCAGAAAUUGCAGCCUUGGCAGGUAAUGGCUCUUUUGUUGUUGUAUAUCUUUUAAUUAUUAUUUCAUUUUAUAUUGUUGAUAAAGCAAAGAUAACGCAAUUUUAACAACAGACAAAAAUUGAAAGAUGAAUAACCAAACUGUAAAAUAGGCAGGUAGGGUGUGUAGUUGCACGUGAGUUAAAUAAAGACUUUAAAGUCCAAAUUAAGUCCAAUUGUAUCAGAUCACCAAGCACAGUUCCAGAUUUGCCAGGUUUUGGGGGAGGGGGUUGUUUUGAAAACGUUGGUUCUGCUGUAUAUGCCAAAUCAUAUGAAACUUGUCUAGUCGUCAAAAUCUCAAAUUAUUUGUGAUUAUCUUUGCUAUAGCUAUAUUCCAGAGUGAGUGGUACAAAGUGUCCAGCAUCAGAUUUUUGGGCUGUGUUCUAUUGAGUUGCCAUUACUAUGAAUGCUGCCACUUUAAUCUUGCCAAUUUUUUGGCAACAUAUUUACAAUGGUAUCAUCAGAAAUACACAGUGACAUUCAUUUUGGACAACAAACCAUCUUUUUAUAGUAAUAUUUAUCAUUUCUGAGAAAAUCGGAUACAACCCACUCACCUGAGCUUCAGCUCUUCAAAACAGCUAGGUGUGAUAUUGUCAAUGGCAAUUUCUAUCUCAACUAGAGUCUUAAGAGGGACACCUGUUUUGCCUGUUCCUCCCUCAGUCUAACCCUCCCCCCAUUUUUCUGUUCUUUCAUUUAUACCCUUUCUGCAUUGAACUUCAUGGAUGUUUGCAUGAUGAUUUUGGAAGUCCUGUUUAAGCUUUGAAAUACAUAUACAGUGUGGCUUAGUCCUAUACGGAGGAAUCUACAGAGGAAAGAGAGAUUAAAUUUUACUGUUAUUAUUGCUAUUGUUAUUAAUUUGUGAUUAUAUGAAAUCUUGUCUACUGCCAUGGAGGAGGCAAUGGCACUUUAAAAGGCGAUGCUGAACAUAAGAUAAGGUUGAGUUUUAAACAAUUGUCCUUUUCCUGCCAUCUCAAUGCAGCUCCACCCAUUUCUUAGGAGUGUCUCAUUUAACAACAGUGCGGGAGAAGAAGUGUCUUUUAGUGAGAACAGGGAAUCAGAAGCUGGGUUCGAUAUUACCAACUUGGUCACUUUCCCAAAUAACUCCUUCAUCAGAAUGAAGGUUGGAUGGAUGAAUUUGGAUGCUCCCCCAGGAAAAGAGUUUUCCAUCAAUGAAGACAAAAUGGUGUGGCACAGGAGUUUUCACCAGGUGGGGCAUGAUUUCAGGAAAUUGCAACUCCAGUGUGUCCUAAAUGUGAUGUUUGCAUCUCGGAAGCCUAGCGGAGACAUGGAUCCUGUAUUUUUUCUCUCUUGUUGUUUAUGAAAACCUCUAUGAAUGUUGUGGGGCUCUGAUGCCUUGAAGCAGGCCAGGACAUAGUUCAUUAUUAUAUGCUUGUUUGUUUAUUGCAUUUUUAGUCCACCUUUCCUUUGCUUGCUUCCCAUUUUAUCCUAACAACCAACAACCCUGUAAGGUAGUGUAGACUGAGAGCAGCAGUGACUGGUCCAAGGUCACCCAAUGAGUUUCAUGGCCAAGUGGGGAUUUGAAUCCUGGUCUUCCACUUCCCUGUCUAGCACAUUCUUUAAAGAUUUCUAGGCCAGCAGAGUGUGACCUAAGCCUAACCUCCAACCAACUUCUCUGGGGAGAAAGAAAAGGGAGCUGAGCCUGGAGACAGAUGAGGCAGACUUCUGCAGAGAAUGCCUGGUUUGGAGGCUAGUAAUUCUCAAGAUAUAGUAGCAGAGGUCUGGCAGAGUCCAGCACUAUCCUUGUUUUUGAGGCUGCUUAAGUUGUGGAAUGUGUGUGGCGCUGUUGCCUAAACCACAGAGCCUAGGGCUGGCCGAUCAGAAGGUUGUUGGUUCGAAUCCCAGUGACAGGGUGAGCUCCCAUUGUUCGGUCCCUGCUCCUGCCAACCUAGCAGUUCAAAAGCAUGCCAAAGUGCAAGUAGAUAAAUAGGUAAUGCUCCAGCGGGAAGGUAAACAGCAUUUCCAAGCGCUGCUUUGGUUUGCCAGAAGCGGCUUAGUCAUGCUGGCCACAUGACCCAGAAGCUGUACGCCGGCUCCCUCGGCCAUUUCUCCCAUCCACUUGAUCCCUUGCAGCCCAGAAAAUGGAGUUCAGGGCCUCCAAAUGUCCAUUACUCCCCCUGUGCUAAACAUUUCCUUACGGUUAAUUAAAAUUCACAGGUACCACCCCUCUCUCAAUGCAACAAAAAUUGCCCUUCUGGUACUAGGAGAAAAAAGAAGGAAGGGGAGAAAUUCUGCUGCUAUGACUGUGCUCCAUGUUCAGAAGGCAAGAUUUCAUACCAGAAAGGUAGGAGACAUUAGGUAGCUUUCAGAUAACUCAGAUUUCCUGUGAAGGGUCUGUGGCAGAGUGAAAGGUGUCACAGUUGUUGCUAUUGAUGUAGUUCUGAUUUCCAUGGUGAUUGAAGUUCACAGACUUGGAGCUCUUCAUUGCAACCAGCUGAUGGCCCAGCAUCGGGGCCAAACAUUUGCAAAGAGGUGCUUUGCAAGCCCAAAUGAUCAGAUGAUGGUUGGGGUUUGCAAAGCACACUGUUACCUGCCCUACACCUAACAUCAGAGAUGACAUCAGAUAUAGGGCCAGUAGGUGUAACUUGCUAAAAUGGCCCCAUGGGUCAGAGGUUUUCUAACUGGAUUACCUGGGUGGUGAUGGAGAUGAGUUGCACUGGUACGCCUGCAGAGCACAGGCCUCCUGCUGUCCAGACCCACCCCCUUACUGUCCAGGCAAGAGACUGUGAUAUCAUUGUCUGGGGGAGGGGGGUCCAAAGCUCUUUCUCCCAAUGCUAGUCACUCCUGUGUCUGAAAAGGAUUGUCUCUUGCACAUCCAACUGGUAAGUCCCAUACUGCCAGGAGGAUGCAUACCUACUCUCAACUUGCACCCUUAAAGGGAAUCCUUUCUUCUUUUCAGACAUGAAUGACUGUGUCGGAUGCUCAGAAGAUCACUAUCCAAACAGGAACCGAACACAAUGCAUUCCAAAGUUCAUCAGCUUCUUGACUUUGGAAGAACCGCUUGGGAUGAGCUUAGCUUUUGGCUCCGUAUUCUCCUCUUUGCUCACCAUCUUGUCCCUCGCCAUCUUUAUGAAGCAUCAGGACACACCGAUUGUCAGGGCCAAUAAUCGGGACCUCACCUACGUUCUCCUCCUGUCUCUCCUUCUCUGUUUUCUCUGUCCCCUCAUCUUCCUCAGCCGACCAGACAGAGUGACCUGCCUUGUCCGACAAAUGGCUUUUAGUGUGGUUUUCACGGUGACUGUUUCUUGUGUGUUGGC
Molecule: non-coding RNA, 6171 nt
Organism: Podarcis lilfordi (Lilford's wall lizard)
Lineage: Eukaryota; Metazoa; Chordata; Lepidosauria; Squamata; Lacertidae
Source: the annotation of a GenBank genome assembly